GUGCCAGCAGCCGCGGUAAGACGUAGGGGGCUAGCGUUGUCCGGAUUUACUGGGCGUAAAGCGCGUGCAGGCGGUUCGUUAAGUCCCGUGUUAAAGCCUCCGGCUCAACCGGAGAACGCCGCGGGAUACUGGCGAGCUUGAGGGCGGUAGAGGGUGAUGGAAUUCCCGGUGUAGCGGUGAAAUGCGUAGAUAUCGGGAGGAACGCCAGUGGCGAAGGCGGUCACCUGGGCCGUCCCUGACGCUGAGACGCGAAAGCUGGGGGAGCGAACGGGAUUAGAUACCCUCGUAGUCC
This 292-nucleotide ribosomal RNA is filed under the name uncultured bacterium. RNAcentral describes it as "partial 16S ribosomal RNA". It matches the Rfam family "Bacterial small subunit ribosomal RNA", at positions 505 to 796 of the family's 1533-position model. The record is from RNAcentral.